RNAcentral lists this ribosomal RNA (1023 nucleotides) under Occultibambusa maolanensis. RNAcentral describes it as "SSU rRNA". It matches the Rfam family "Eukaryotic small subunit ribosomal RNA", at positions 72 to 1103 of the family's 1831-position model. The record is from RNAcentral. Lineage: Eukaryota; Fungi; Ascomycota; Dothideomycetes; Pleosporales; Occultibambusaceae.
CAUUAUACCGUGAAACUGCGAAUGGCUCAUUAAAUCAGUUAUCGUUUAUUUGAUAGUACCUUACUACUUGGAUAACCGUGGUAAUUCUAGAGCUAAUACAUGCUAAAAACCCCGACUUCGGGAGGGGUGUAUUUAUUAGAUAAAAAACCAAUGCCCUUCGGGGCUCUUUGGUGAUUCAUGAUAACUUAACGGAUCGCAUGGCCUUGCGCCGGCGACGGUUCAUUCAAAUUUCUGCCCUAUCAACUUUCGAUGGUAAGGUAUUGGCUUACCAUGGUUUCAACGGGUAACGGGAGAUUAGGGUUUGACUCCGGAGAGGGAGCCUGAGAAACGGCUACCACAUCCAAGGAAGGCAGCAGGCGCGCAAAUUACCCAAUCCCGACACGGGGAGGUAGUGACAAUAAAUACUGAUACAGGGCUCUUUUGGGUCUUGUAAUCGGAAUGAGUACAAUUUAAACCCCUUAACGAGGAACAAUUGGAGGGCAAGUCUGGUGCCAGCAGCCGCGGUAAUUCCAGCUCCAAUAGCGUAUAUUAAAGUUGUUGCAGUUAAAAAGCUCGUAGUUGAACCUUGGGCCUGGCUGGCCGGUCCGCCUCACCGCGUGUACUGGUCCGGCCGGGCCUUUCCUUCUGGUGAGCCUCAUGCCCUUCACUGGGUGUGUUGGGGAACCAGGACUUUUACUGUGAACAAAUUAGAGUGUUCAAAGCAGGCCUUUGCUCGAAUACAUUAGCAUGGAAUAAUAGAAUAGGACGUGCGGUCCUAUUUUGUUGGUUUCUAGGACCGCCGUAAUGAUUAAUAGGGAUAGUCGGGGGCAUCAGUAUUCAAUUGUCAGAGGUGAAAUUCUUGGAUUUAUUGAAGACUAACUACUGCGAAAGCAUUUGCCAAGGAUGUUUUCAUUAAUCAGUGAACGAAAGUUAGGGGAUCGAAGACGAUCAGAUACCGUCGUAGUCUUAACCGUAAACUAUGCCGACUAGGGAUCGGGCGAUGUUUCUAUCUUGACUCGCUCGGCACCUUACGAGAAAUCAAAG